This 80-nucleotide ribosomal RNA is filed under the name Bacillus sp. MBGLi97. RNAcentral describes it as "partial 23S ribosomal RNA". The record is from RNAcentral. Lineage: Bacteria; Bacillati; Bacillota; Bacilli; Caryophanales; Bacillaceae.
GAUCAGGUUGAUAGGUCUGAGGUGGAAGUGUGGCGACACAUGGAGCUGACAGAUACUAAUCGAUCGAGGACUUAACCUAA